UGCGUAGGCGGUUCUCUAAGUCGGAUGUGAAAACCUCUGGGCUCAACCCAGAGACUGCAUCCGAAACUGGAGGACUAGGGUUCUGGAGGGGAAAGCGGAAUUCCUGGUGUAGCGGUGAAAUGCGUAGAUAUCAGGAGGAACACCGGUGGCGAAGGCGGCUUUCUGGACAGAUACCGACGCUGAGGCACGAAAGCUAGGGGAGCAAACA
This 208-nucleotide ribosomal RNA is filed under the name uncultured bacterium. Its description in RNAcentral is "partial 16S ribosomal RNA". It matches the Rfam family "Bacterial small subunit ribosomal RNA", at positions 568 to 774 of the family's 1533-position model. The record is from RNAcentral.